UUUGAUAUGACAAGGCAGCAAGGAAGGUUUAUUUUUGAGAAUUUUAGAUUGCUAAGAGUUUUAAAAAUUAACUAUAUACGGCAGUCCCGACUACCUACGGAAAUUGGGCAUUUGAUUCAUUUGAGGUACCUUGGACUGUACGGUGUUGAAAUGAAUGAUAGACCCAAAGUUUCGUGCUUAGAGUCAUCACCUUUACCAUCAUCCAUAGGUAAUCUGCGGAGUUUAUAUACCCUUGAUUUACGAGGUAAUAUGAUGAUUACAUUACCCGCUGCAUUAUCGAAAUUAGAAUGCUUGAGACAUCUGUUAGUGGAUAGCGAUUCUUUAUGGCGGGUUAGAUUGGAUAAAUUAAGGGACUUGGAGACUUUGAAGUCGGUAACUG
This 379-nucleotide unclassified non-coding RNA is filed under the name Hevea brasiliensis (rubber tree). The record is from RNAcentral. Lineage: Eukaryota; Viridiplantae; Streptophyta; Magnoliopsida; Malpighiales; Euphorbiaceae.